GUGAUAUUACUCUCAUAGCCCAGCUCCUGCUGAAUGACUCCCUCUAGGAUAUUUUCUAGGGUGUUAUGCCAAUGAAGUUUUUGGUUUUAUUUGUUGUAAAUAGCAAGACUUCCAUUGUUUUACCAAAAAAUUUUCAGAUCACUCAUUUUCACUAAAUUUGUAAAAUAAAAACAUAUAGGGCAUGUUUUAGUACAAUAUUUUGAUUAAAUUAAUUUUCUAUAUUAAAAAUGCUUGGUUUCCACCUUCUAGGAAUUAAUAUUUGAAGAAACAAAACAUUCAUUCUACUAGAAUCAGAUGCUGUGAGUUGAUUUUGGUAGCUAUUUGCUGCUCUGCAGACCUAAUUUCAGGCUGCUGUGGUUCUCAGCAGCAAUUUGAUUUUGUGAAUAUUAUCUUUUGUAUUCUGAAUCCCAUUGCUAAGCAGGGUGGUGUUGUAAAAAUAAAAACAUAAGGUUCUCUUGUCUGAGUCUGUGUGGGAGUCAGCAAUGCUUAUUUCUAGCAUGAAACAUUAUUUGUAUGGUGAAUUUCCCAAAUGCUGUUUGACCUUGGAGUUGUUCAUUUAAUUAAAAAAACUUCAAUGCCUACUAUGUGCCCGGACCUCUUCUAGGUAGAGACGAUACAAGAGUGGUACAGAAGUGAACAACAUAGGUAACUGGUCUGGCCUACAAGGAUUUCGCAUUCUGGGCUUUGGAGACUGAUUUUAGCAGGAACUUAAAAAGAUAAUUUCAGGCUGUGAUUAGAGCUCUGGAGUAAAUAACAAAGAGAUAUGAUAAAAUGUAACCUGGGGAGUCAGGCAAUGGCUGAAUGGAGGAGGGAGGAGAUAACUUCAGAGCAUGAGAGGGAAGACUUUUCUGAGGCCGUGCCUUUAAGGUGAGGAACAUAAGUAGUCUUUUGGAGAGUUGGGAAAGUUGUACAGGGUAAUAUCAAGUGCAAAGGCCCUGGGGCAGUGGGCUUGUUGUAUUUGAGAAACAGCAGGUGGGUGUGGCCAAAGCCUACCAAGAGAUGACAGUGGAGAAGACAGGAGGGUCCUGUAGUUUAUGAUACACAAGCAGCCAUUUUUACAAACAAUAACUAAGGCACCUUUCCUUUUCAGAUGGUGGAAUUGCACGACUUAGAGUAUUCGGUACUGGACAAAAAGACUGGACUGCAACUGACCCCAAAGAACCUGCAGACCUAGUGGCCAUCGCUUUUGGGGGUGUCUGUGUAGGAUUUAGUAAUGCUAAGUUUGGGCACCCAAACAAUAUAAUAGGAGCUGGCGGGGCAAAGUCUAUGGCGGAUGGUUGGGAAACUACAAGAAGGCUGGACCGGCCACCAAUAUUAGAAAAUGAUGAGAAUGGCAUUCUCUUGGUUCCGGGUUGUGAAUGGGCAGUUUUCCGAUUGGCACAUCCUGGAGUAAUAACUCGAAUUGAAAUUGACACAAAAUAUUUUAAAGGCAAUGCUCCUGACAGCUGUAAAGUGGAUGGGUGCAUCCUGACAACUCAAGAAGAAGAAGACGUGAUCAGGCAAAAGUGGAUUCUCCCGGCCCACAAGUGGAAACCACUGCUUCCAGUGACCAAGUUGUCUCCCAACCAAAGUCAUCUGUUCGAUAGCCUGACCCUGGAGCUCCAAGAUGUCAUCACUCAUGCCAGGCUCACCAUCGUCCCCGACGGGGGGGUGAGCCGCCUUCGGCUCCGGGGCUUCCCCAGCUCCAUCUGCCUCUUGAGGCCCCGGGAGAAGCCCAUGAUGAAGUUCUCGGUGGGCUUCAAAGCAAACCCUUAACACACACAAAGCCCCGGUGUCGGACACACAGCAGUAAUUUCCCAGUCAUAGUCUUCUUUUCAAGUGUUUUGAACACCUAGUGAUUUAAUAAAGUGGUCAUCUCACAAA
This 1863-nucleotide small RNA is filed under the name Pongo abelii (Sumatran orangutan). Its description in RNAcentral is "retained intron". The record is from RNAcentral. Lineage: Eukaryota; Metazoa; Chordata; Mammalia; Primates; Hominidae.